UCAUUCCUGGGCACUCUUCUCCAGU
This 25-nucleotide non-coding RNA is filed under the name Cricetulus griseus (Chinese hamster). Lineage: Eukaryota; Metazoa; Chordata; Mammalia; Rodentia; Cricetidae. The record is from RNAcentral.